Molecule: long non-coding RNA, 2561 nt
Organism: Phocoena sinus (vaquita)
Lineage: Eukaryota; Metazoa; Chordata; Mammalia; Artiodactyla; Phocoenidae
Source: Ensembl
UGAAUCAGUGACUUGAAAAGUUGGAUUGAGAAACUCCUCCAGAAGGCAGCAAAAAAAGGAUAAAUAGAAAAUAAAUGCAGAUGUAAGUGGGAUGAGGGACAGAAGUAGUAUGUGCCAACAUUCAAGUAACAAAUGAGGUCAGAAGAAGAAAAAAUUUGAAGAUUGAGAGGGCCAUAGAGUGCCAAACAAGAAAGAAGAAAGUACCCACAUCUAGACACAUACUGAAAUUAGGAGUAUCAAGGAUAACGAGAAAAAUCUAAAGGUUUUUAAACAGUCAAUCCUUGUAUAAAGGAACAAGAAUCAUAUUGACCUUACUCUUCAGAAGAGCAAUGCUGGCUGUCAGGAAACAGUAUUUUUAAGGUACUGGACCUAAAAUUUUAUAUCCAUUUAAAUUGUUAUUCAAAUGUGAGGGUUUAAUAAAAGACAUUAAUAUUCAUCACUCAAAGAUCCGCAGUGUAAACAUUUUUGGAGAGAAUACUUAAAAAACAAGUGCAGGAAAUAUUUCAAGAACUAGGGGUGAGUGAUCAGAUACCUUGGUAAAGUGUGUACAGGCUGACCUCAGCGAUACUGCAGGUUUGGUUCCAGACCACUGCAAUAAGGCAAAUAUUGCAAUAAAGCAAGUCACGAAGUUUUUGGUUUCCACUUCUACCCAUAGGAGUUUAUAUCACUAGGUGUGAACAAGGUGGCAUGGUGAGUACGGGCACCAUUGACGAGCCUUAAAAGCAGUGGCUAGUGAAGCUCUCACCCUGUGUGCAUCUUUCUCUAUCCUGAGACAUUUAUUCUCUCUAGGCUUUCUGUUCCCUUCUGUUUCUCUGAGUGUGUUUUGGGUCUCCUAGUGACUCCGUAGAUUCAGCAUAACUUUCGGUGAGAGUAAAAGUAGGAACUUAAAAAAAAAAAAAAACUUGUCUAUGGAGUGGUUCUCAGCCUUUAGUGUGCAGAUAUUUGCUCAGCCUUCGGGCCAGUUGGAAUGAGGCAGUGGGUGUCUUUCCCACAGCUGUGUAGUGCUAAUAUUACUUACCUCAUCAAUAACUUCCAAUUAUUACUGUGAGGUUAUGGAGAGUUGCCCACUCUGUGCCUCUGUCUUAAAGAUAUUCACCUACUUGCUAAAAGUCUUCAAGAGUGAAGUGAUAAGAUUUAUUCACCUGCUGAAGACUUUAAAAAAUCAGAUAUAUGGUUCCACUUAUUGUUUAUAUUCUGGUUUACACAUUUAUUUUCUUGAAUAGGUAAUACAUUCACUGUUCAGUGAACCAUAUAAAAGUAUCCAUCUCACCUCUUCUCCAGUCACUGGGUUACCUUUCCUUGAGGCAACUAAUAUUAGGGGUUAUUCUAUGCAAGCUUCUGAAUUGUUCUUUUCAUAAAUGUAUGAUUUUUUUUUUUUUUUUGGCGGUACGCGGGCCUCUCACUGCCGUGGCCUCUCCCGCCGCGGAGCACAGGCUCCGGACGCGCAGGCCCAGCGGCCACAGCUCACGGGCCCAGCCGCUCCGCGGCACGUGGGAUCCUCCCGGACCGGGGCACGAACCCGUGUCCCCUGCAACGGCAGGCAGACUCCCAACCACUGCGCCACCAGGGAAGCCCUAAAUGUGUGAUUUUAAUGUUUUGGCUCUGGUAAAAUGCAUUAACGGUAUUAAUUACUUUGCAGCUGACUUUUAGGAUUAAAUGUCAAGGGCUUUCUUGGACAAUGUACCCUAUACUACACAGAUACACAUUAAUACAUUGUGUGUUUUCACCUCUAGUUAAUUCUGACAGUCAGUUUGUAUUUGAGGCUAGUGUGCUGGGGUAGUGGAAACUUAACCUCUUUACCUGUCUACCUUUCAUUAUCAUCCAUUUUUUAAAUAUGUGAAAAUAGAAUAGGCAGAUGAUACUUAUGAAGUGUCCAUAACUUUAUGCACUUUCUGUAUUUUAUAUGGAAAAGAGCAGGUUUAGAAAUGUGCCUUGGAGCUGUGUUCUAGGGACACCCUUGCUGUCAACUCCUCUAAGGUGGCAGUUAGAUUGUGUACUUGACAUGUGACUAAUGUAAGAUGCUACAAGGCUGGGAGUUAGGAGAUCUGGUCUCUGUCUGCAUUGGGCAAAUCAUUUGACCUCUCUGAAUUAAAACACUUUACGAAAAUUUGAUAUAGGUUUCUAAGGUUCUCACAUUCUCUACUGGAAGAGAACAUUUUCCUGAGCUGCCUGUUUCAGCCUAAUAGAAUAUUGCUAGAACACAUAACCUACAGACCAGGCACAGCCCCCUCUUGGUGGUCUAAAAAUGCUUACUUUCUUUUUGAGCUAUUUCUCCUUUCAGCCUGGCAUGAUUUGCAAGAGCACUUUGGGUUUGACUGUCACUGUUAUUAUUUGUUCCCAUUUGGUGAGGCCAGACUCAACCCAGGCAGCUGUUGAUGAAAUUGGACAUGACCCAUUGAUCUGUGACAUCAGUUCCCAGAGCAAUCAACUGACUGAAAGAAAUGCACCCAAAGUCAAAUCACCAUUAUCAUCCACAAACGAAAAAGGAAAAUUCUCAUUCGUUUCACCUUUCAUUUCCAAAUAUGAUAUACCAGGAGGGUCUCCAGCUUCAUGCCAAUUAG